GUGCCCCGCCGCCAGGCACCGGGCCGGGCCCACACUUUUGCCGGUUGGCCCCCGCUGCUGGGCAGAGGGAUUCAGCGAGAGCUUGGGGAACAGGCUCAGCAGGGCUGGCUCAUAGGGCAGCCCCCGCUGGCAGCUAGAAGGGCAGCUGCAGGCCACUGAGCGCCCGCGCUCCUCUGCGCUUACUCAGCACUCCUCCAUCUGCGCCCUGCCUCCAGCUGGUCUGAGCUCCUCCGUGGGCGGGCCGAGUGCAGGAGGUGUGUGCCCCUCAGGUAAACUCUCUGCCCUCAGGGAGGCUAGCCAGUGGCAGAGGGUGCCCUGGAUUGGCGGGCCUGAUAUCUGUACAGAGACCGAAUGAUGGAGCGAGGGGUUGGCAACUCCAGACGGAGGCCACUACAAAGGUCCCAGUGAGAACAGACUCUGAGGAUGCAGGAGUCCUGGAGGAGCCUGCCAGGUGGGACCGAGGGCAACCAGGGCUAUGGGAAGAUCCUCAGGCCCCGGCAGCUCAGCUCAGGGCCUGGACACCUGCCAAGACAUAGGCUGCAGCCACCAAGAGGUGCCAGCCAAACAGAGGAGGGGACAGCAGGCACCUGGGGAUGGGGUGGAGCUGACCCCUGCUCUCUGUCCCUCCCUUCCAGGACAGCUCCUCCUAAUGCACCUCGGCAUAACCCUGCCCACCUGCAGGAGGAAAGAGAAAGCUGGGGGAACCGGGGUGGCACCCAGGUGUGGUCAGUGCCUGAAUGUCCUUCUCCCUCUGCCUUCACUCCUCCACACACAGCUCACACCUGGCCUCCUUGGGAUGCCCAUCCGGAACCUCAAAGGGCCCUGUGCAGGUGACAGCAGCAGCCCCUUCCAGCGGCCCUGUGAGGAUGUGCUGCUGGGCCGUGAGUGACUGCAUUGAUGAAGGAGCCAAUAGGUGGAGUAAUAAGUGGCCCUGAUGAGCCUCACGGCCUCCCUGUCCAGGAAGGCAAGUGGCGCACAUCCCCUCCCCACUGAUGGGUCAGGGCCAGGCUACAAUCUGCCUGGAUGUUUGGGCUCUUAUUUCUCCCCAAGGUGCUGGACCCACAUCUGUGGGCAGAGGGACAGGUGUCUGCUUCUCCCAGGGCCAGCGCGGGGUGUCCCAGCGGACGCUGCUGGGGGCAGAGGCAAGGCAAGCGGAG
Molecule: long non-coding RNA, 1157 nt
Filed under: Sus scrofa (pig)
Lineage: Eukaryota; Metazoa; Chordata; Mammalia; Artiodactyla; Suidae
Description: lncRNA (ENSSSCG00005012839.1)
Source: RNAcentral